Molecule: unclassified non-coding RNA, 570 nt
Filed under: Rhopalosiphum maidis (corn leaf aphid)
Lineage: Eukaryota; Metazoa; Arthropoda; Insecta; Hemiptera; Aphididae
Description: uncharacterized LOC113556046, transcript variant X1
Source: RNAcentral
UAUUUUUGCAGUUUUACAUUUAUAUUAUGGGUAUAUGAUCUUCAGCUGUAAAUUGUUUUCAAAUUUUUUGUAAUAAGAAUGAAGUUUGUCCGUUAGUUUUUUUCCAUAUCUGAAUUAAUCAGUGUUGGCCGCGUACUAGUUGUCAUAUAUAAAUUUUAGUACUUCUUAUGAUGACAAUACAGCAGUUUACUCAAGGAAUGGAGACGCAUGGAUUCACUUAUCUCACACGUGGGAAAGUAUCAACAUCCUACAUUAAUGGACUGGAGGAGGUCGAGAAUAUUGCAGGUUUAAUGCAGUCUACGUAUAAUAGUUACUCAAAGUAAUUAAAAUUCAAUUGAUAGAAGUGCAUCAAAAAGAUGGUGUCAUGAAACCCUGACCAUUACAUAAAAUGGCAGUACGGCAGUUCACUUAAGGAAUUCUGACGCAUGGAUUCACUUAUCUCACACGUGGGAAAGUAUCAACAUCCUAUGUUGCAAAUGGACUAGAAGAUGCUGAGAAUAAUACGUGUUAUAUGCAAUAUGGCACUACGGCAGAUCACACAAGGCAUGCUGAGACAUGGAUUCACAUUUC